UCUCCGAAAGACGAGUCCCCUGAGUGAGAUU
RNAcentral lists this small RNA (31 nucleotides) under Bombyx mori (domestic silkworm). RNAcentral describes it as "ovarian small RNA-29636". Lineage: Eukaryota; Metazoa; Arthropoda; Insecta; Lepidoptera; Bombycidae. The record is from RNAcentral.